AACUAUUUUUAAAAUUUUUAUUUUCAAAUUUUUAAUAUUUAUUGUUUAUUUUAUAAAAUUUUAAACAUCAAUUUUAAAUCUCCACCCUUUAACUCUAAACCCUAAAGUUUGGAUUAGUUAACCUAGGAGUAUAAAUGUAUAUUUAACUCUUUAAUGAAACAUUUUGAUUCUUAGAGUCUAUAUUUGUGACCAAAAUUUUUUUAGAACUAUCUUUGGGUAUUUUCCUAUUUUAUAUGUUAGAAUGUUAUCGUUUUGUUUUGUUUUUAAUUUAUACAACCUAAUAUAAUAUACUAAUUAUAUUUUUUUUUAGGAGGUUAGGGUCGAAAUCCAUAAUCAAUUCGGACCCAAAAAGACCAAAACCAUAACAUGUAAUGUUAGUUUUGUGACUUUUGAGCUAGUGACCUCUUGUCUUAAUAUACUAAUUAUUAAGUGUUGAAAUCUUUGCUUUCGACUUAGUCACUAAGAUAGAUUAUAUAUUUUUGUUUUUUGUGGCCUUGUUGAAAUUGAUUUCUAGUCAUUCCAUUUGGUGAAAUGUUUUAAUAACUACAUUAUAAUAUUAUAUGAUGAGAUCUUAGUUCAAAAAAAAAAAAAAGAGAUGAGAUCAUGGUGUUUUAAAUAAUUGAAUUCAUGUCUUUGCGUUUUGAGUCUUAAGGUCGAUCGUUUGAACUGAUUCCAUUACCUCGUAUUGAAUGAUCUUAGGCUUUCAUCCUUAUCAUUCAGAAACCAGUUCUUAGCUUCUUACAACAUCCACCUCACAACAUUUUCAAACAAAAACACAAAGGCAGACUCCUCCUUCUAUGGCUGUAACUGAAAUGUAAUUUUGUGGAAUAGAUUUGUUUGGAAUACAUCAUUCCAUAACAUUCCAUAAAAUAUUUACCAGUUACAAUGAAUACCAUUCCAAAACAAUUCAAAAUAUUCCAUUUUUGAAAUGAAACAAAAAUGAAAUUUUUUUGUAAAAUUCAUUAUUUUUGUUCCACAAAAUAAACCUUCGUGAAUAAAUAGAAUGAAUUGAAUAAAUAAUUUCAUUAAUAAUUCAGUUUCAAUUCUAUUUUAUUCAUCGUUCCAUUUUUUCUUAUUCCAAAAAUAUUUAUUCUUUUUAUUCAUAACAUUCCUACUAAAAAAAACUAAUUACGGCCUAUGUGUUUGACCCAAUUUUAAGCCUCCUGGAUCAUUUAACGACCAUAGUCAGUGUCACUCCAUCGCCGAUAAAGACUAAAUGUUAACUUACUACCUCAUAAUCCCCAAAUUUUUAUUUAAUAACUUACGACCAUAGUCAGUGUCACACACAUAACAUAAAGAUUUUUUUAUUUAUUUAUAAUAUUUACGUUAAAUAACUAAUUAAGAAGAUCUUAUUGUUACAGUUACAUUUUAACAAAUAUUUUUAAAAAAAUAUUACGUAACUGACCAUAAUUUUGUUAACAUGUAUUUAUUUAUCACACAGAGCGUUGGUUAUAAACUCUUUUGUAACAUAAGUAAAAAACACAUAUAAAUUUGACACUUGGGAACAAACUUUACAAUAACAACAAAACUCACAAAAUAGCAGAUUGAUUUCAAUAAUUCAGAAACAUUUUAUUGAACUUCCUGGAAAAACAUGAAGACCAGCACUGCUUUGAUUUUAACUUUUCUUGCUUUAUCAUGUAUCAUAAAUAUGGCAGAAUCUAAUUCUGAAGAGAGAACCCAUUCUUCCAGUCCAGCGGCAACUCCUCAAACUGAUUUUCCAAUAAGAGAUCUUAUAUUUGAUAGUAAAAGAGCGGACAUACUUGCCCAUGAUUUGUGUGCUGAAUGUAUGCAUCGUUGUCUUAGAAAGAAAAGAUAUAUGCGUUAUUGUAAAAAUCGUCAAUGUUAUUGUGAUUAUAGUAGGUACGUAAGACCAUAUCGUCCAUGUGUUUCCUCACCAUCCAUAAAAUAAAGAUAAUAAAGUUAAUUUUGAAUAAACCUAAUUUUUUUCUUUCUAGGUAUUUUAUUUAUCUGUACUGUCCAUAUAACAUAUAUGCAUUGAACAUAAAUUUAAUACAAAAUCGGUCGGCAUAACAAACCGAACUAAUUUUACAAAAACAAUAUGAUAUAAACCUUUUGAUUAUACUUUAAAAUAACUUUUAGCUGUUCAUUUAACACAUUGAUACGACUGCAUUCAACUGCUUAGUAACUUGUUACAUCUCAUUAGAUACACAAAAAGCUAUACAAUAUGUAUAUGUGAUGUUUAUUAUUAGGUUUUUGGAGACUAGAUUAUUUUUCAUUCCUUUCAUAUGAAUUCUUAUUUUGAUAAAGAUUCUGAAACAAAUUGCAAUUGUACACAACUUGAUACAUCACAGUUACAGAAAAGAAUAUUGAGAGCAGCAUUUGACUGCAUCAAUUCAAGAAUCAAUAAUUGUUUCACCAG
Molecule: long non-coding RNA, 2380 nt
Organism: Brassica rapa (field mustard)
Lineage: Eukaryota; Viridiplantae; Streptophyta; Magnoliopsida; Brassicales; Brassicaceae
Source: RefSeq, a predicted model, not a curated record